Molecule: ribosomal RNA, 700 nt
Filed under: Flavobacterium sp. BF-CAS-BP3
Lineage: Bacteria; Pseudomonadati; Bacteroidota; Flavobacteriia; Flavobacteriales; Flavobacteriaceae
Description: bacterial SSU rRNA
Rfam family: Bacterial small subunit ribosomal RNA
Source: RNAcentral
UAGAAGGAGCUUGCUCCUUUGAGACCGGCGCACGGGUGCGUAACGCGUAUGCAAUCUACCUUAUACAGGGGGAUAGCCCAGAGAAAUUUGGAUUAAUACCCCAUAGUAUAGUUGAAUGGCAUCAUUUGACUAUUAAAGUUCCAACGGUAUAAGAUGAGCAUGCGUCCCAUUAGCUAGUUGGUGUGGUAACGGCACACCAAGGCAACGAUGGGUAGGGGUCCUGAGAGGGAGAUCCCCCACACUGGUACUGAGACACGGACCAGACUCCUACGGGAGGCAGCAGUGAGGAAUAUUGGUCAAUGGGCGCAAGCCUGAACCAGCCAUGCCGCGUGCAGGAUGACGGUCCUAUGGAUUGUAAACUGCUUUUGUACAGGAAGAAACACUCCCUCGUGAGGGAGCUUGACGGUACUGUAAGAAUAAGGAUCGGCUAACUCCGUGCCAGCAGCCGCGGUAAUACGGAGGAUCCAAGCGUUAUCCGGAAUCAUUGGGUUUAAAGGGUCCGUAGGCGGUUUUAUAAGUCAGUGGUGAAAUCUGGUCGCUCAACGAUCAAACGGCCAUUGAUACUGUAAGACUUGAAUUACUUGGAAGUAACUAGAAUAUGUAGUGUAGCGGUGAAAUGCUUAGAGAUUACAUGGAAUACCAAUUGCGAAGGCAGGUUACUACAAGUAUAUUGACGCUGAUGGACGAAAGCGUGGGGAGC